CUACGAACACUCAUAUAGGAAUAAACUGUUUAAUUCCACACACACUCAAAAAGAUACUCACAAAAUUCGCUCACAAUACUUUCGACAAUCACACAUCGAAAUGAAUAAAUGAGAUAAGGACAUAAUCCAGACAUAAUCCAGUCACGAGUCGAGAUAUGAUUCACAGUGUGUGUGGAGACAUGAGCACAUGUUAGACAUCAUUUGCACAGUUCCUGAAAGAUGAAUCCAGGAUUCUAACCACAGCUGUUGUAGAAAGCAAAUCCCACUGAAAAAUAAGUAUUCUAUAAUAAACCUUUUUUUUCUCCAUAAAAAGAAUGAAACUGAAAAA
Molecule: long non-coding RNA, 328 nt
Organism: Haliotis rubra (blacklip abalone)
Lineage: Eukaryota; Metazoa; Mollusca; Gastropoda; Lepetellida; Haliotidae
Exons: 2
Source: RefSeq, a predicted model, not a curated record